UAUCUGGUUGAUCCUGCCAGUAUUAUAUGCUGAUGUUAAAGAUUAAGCCAUGCAUGUGUAAGUAUAAAGACCAAGUAGGAUGAAACUGCGGACGGCUCAUUAUAACAGUAAUAGUUUCUUUGGUUAGUAAAAUACAAGGAUAGCUUUGUGAAUGAUAAAGAUAAUACUUGAGACGAUCCAGUUUGUAUUAGUACAAAAUGGCCAAUUCAUUCAAUGAAUUGAGAAAUGACAUUCUAAGUGAGUUAGGAUGCCACGACAAUUGUAGAACACACAGUGUUUAACAAGUAACCAAUGAGAAUUUCUGAUCUAUCAAUCAGUUGGUAGUAUCGAGGACUACCAAGAUUAUAACGGAUAACGAGGAAUUGGGGUUCGACAUCGGAGAGGGAGCUUUACAGAUGGCUACCACUUCUAAGGAAGGCAGCAGGCGCGUAAAUUACCCACUUUCGAAUUGAAGAGGUAGUGACGACACAUAACUCUAGAGUUGAGUAAAAUCAAUUCUUGAAGGAAUGAGUAGGA
This 516-nucleotide ribosomal RNA is filed under the name Entamoeba histolytica. RNAcentral's name for it is "SSU rRNA". It matches the Rfam family "Eukaryotic small subunit ribosomal RNA", at positions 1 to 523 of the family's 1831-position model. Lineage: Eukaryota; Evosea; Mastigamoebida; Endamoebidae. The record is from RNAcentral.